Molecule: long non-coding RNA, 230 nt
Filed under: Mytilus galloprovincialis (Mediterranean mussel)
Lineage: Eukaryota; Metazoa; Mollusca; Bivalvia; Mytilida; Mytilidae
Source: RNAcentral
GUCCAAUCUAAAUUAAACCCAAGAGUUAAUUUAUCGGAUCAACAAGUGAACUCUGUUACUUUCAAUUUAUUUUGAAAUGUAAAAUAUUAUGUUUCACUACCUCGGUAGAUUACCGACUUGAAAUAUUUGAAUUUAAAAAAGAAACUGUAAAGUGACAAAUAGUUUUGUAUGCAAUGUGGCAGCUCUAUAUUCAUAAAUACUGAGAUACAUUCGCCGCCCAGACACAACAC